CAGUUCGGAUUGUAGUCUGCAACUCGACUACAUGAAGCUGGAAUCGCUAGUAAUCGCGAAUCAGCAUGUCGCGGUGAAUACGUUCCCGGGUCUUGUACACACCGCCCGUCACACCAUGGGAGUCGGAAAUGCCCGAAGUCUGUGACCCAACCUUAGGGAGGGAGCAGCCGAAGGCAGGUCGGAUGACUGGGGUGAAGUCGUAACAAGGUACC
This 212-nucleotide ribosomal RNA is filed under the name uncultured bacterium. Its description in RNAcentral is "partial 16S ribosomal RNA". It matches the Rfam family "Bacterial small subunit ribosomal RNA", at positions 1289 to 1500 of the family's 1533-position model. The record is from RNAcentral.